UUUCUUAUUCCAACUUAUUCAAUUCCACCUUAAAUUUUUCUUAUCCCAACUUUGCAAUUCCACUGUAUCUAUAAUUAUUUCCUGAUUCCUUGCAAGAGCCACUGCCUCGGCACCAUCACCCUCUUUGAUGGUUGAACCACUAUUCAUUGUACAUGUUUACGACCGCUAUUUGUUUCAGAGAUUACUGCUUGCUCAACGUUGCUUGCUGUGUCGGGAUUACCCUUAAUAGAAGUGUUCUGAUCAACAAUCACAUGUGCUAUUUCCAUAUGACCCAGAUGCAUCUUUUUCAUCAGCGGGAAGAGGACCUGGACGACUGUGGCCGUUAUUCAUUGAUAUCGCCGCCCUCAGCCUCCCAAUCUUAUUCACAGUCGAAUUUCAAUCAGGCUGGAGAAGGAGAAGAAGUCGUGAAAUUUCUCUCUCAUGUCUAAUGUUGUUAUUUGCUAAAAGAGUACAUAAAGUCGACACAUCCAAACAAAACACAAUGAAAUUGUCGCCAUUUACACACAAUUGCUCUUGAAAAAGCAAUGAAAGAAGGAAAGAUUUUGACAGAUAUUUUUUCGCCGUAAUGAAACUUGUAUUUUCUGUUAAUAUAUUAUAAUGUAUUUCAAU
Molecule: long non-coding RNA, 609 nt
Filed under: Nicotiana benthamiana
Lineage: Eukaryota; Viridiplantae; Streptophyta; Magnoliopsida; Solanales; Solanaceae
Description: long non-coding RNA (NBEN_LNC006518)
Source: RNAcentral